UACAGAGGGGGCAAGGGUUGUUCGGAAUUACUGGGCGUAAAGGGCGCGUAGGCGGCCUUCUAAGUCGAACGUGAAAUCCCCGGGCUCAACCCGGGAACUGCGUCCGAUACUGGAAGGCUUGAAUCCGGGAGAGGGAUGCGGAAUUCCAGGUGUAGCGGUGAAAUGCGUAGAUAUCUGGAGGAACACCGGUGGCGAAGGCGGCAUCCUGGACCGGCAUUGACGCUGAGGCGCGAAAGCCAGGGGAGCAAACGGG
This 253-nucleotide ribosomal RNA is filed under the name uncultured bacterium. Its description in RNAcentral is "partial 16S ribosomal RNA". It matches the Rfam family "Bacterial small subunit ribosomal RNA", at positions 524 to 776 of the family's 1533-position model. The record is from RNAcentral.